CAGAGCAUGCAAAGAAGCAAAACCAGCAAGGAACAACAUCAACUCGAAGCCGCACUUCCAGAACCGGACACACACACACAAGAUCGCAAGCCAGCACCAUAACAGAACCGGAUCCGCGAAAGAAACAAAGAGGUAGUACUUUCUUUACCUUUAGAUCUAGGCCUCUGUGUGUACGUUUUCGAAAAUCUAGGUUUAGAACUGAAUAGAGGGGAGAGAGUCGAGUGAAAACAGCAAAAAAAUAGAGUUUUUUAGCUCCGGUGCGGCGGCGCCGCCGCGAUGGCUCGCCGACCACCGCACCAGAGUCUGCUCC
This 310-nucleotide long non-coding RNA is filed under the name Medicago truncatula (barrel medic). RNAcentral describes it as "long non-coding RNA (MTRU_LNC004260)". Lineage: Eukaryota; Viridiplantae; Streptophyta; Magnoliopsida; Fabales; Fabaceae. The record is from RNAcentral.